GACGAACGCUGGCGGCGUGCUUAACACAUGCAAGUCGAACGGAAAGGCCCUGCUUUUGUGGGGUGCUCGAGUGGCGAACGGGUGAGUAACACGUGAGUAACCUGCCCUUGACUUUGGGAUAACUUCAGGAAACUGGGGCUAAUACCGGAUAGGAGCUCCUGCUGCAUGGUGGGGGUUGGAAAGUUGGGGCGGUUGGGGAUGGACUCGCGGCUUAUCAGCUUGUUGGUGGGGUAGUGGCUUACCAAGGCUUUGACGGGUAGCCGGCCUGAGAGGGUGACCGGACACACUGGGACUGAGAUAAGGCCCAGACUACUAUGGGAGGCAGCAGUGGGGAAUAUUGCACAAUGGGCGGAAGCCUGCUGCAGCAACGCCGCGUGCGGGAUGACGGCCUUCGGGUUGUAAACCGCUUUCGCCUGUGACGAAGCGUGAGUGACGGUAAUGGGUAAAGAAGCACCGGCUAACUACGUG
Molecule: ribosomal RNA, 468 nt
Filed under: uncultured bacterium
Lineage: Bacteria
Description: partial 16S ribosomal RNA
Rfam family: Bacterial small subunit ribosomal RNA
Source: RNAcentral